UGGGGAAUUUUGGACAAUGGGCGAAAGCCUGAUCCAGCAAUGCCGCGUGUGUGAAGAAGGCCUUCGGGUUGUAAAGCACUUUUGUCCGGAAAGAAAUCCUUGGCUCUAAUACAGUCGGGGGAUGACGGUACCGGAAGAAUAAGCACCGGCUAACUACGUGCCAGCAGCCGUGGUAAUACGUAGGGUGCAAGCGUUAAUCGGAAUUACUGGGCGUAAAGCGUGCGCAGGCGGUUUGCUAAGACCGAUGUGAAAUCCCCGGGCUCAACCUGGGAACUGCAUUGGUGACUGGCAGGCUAGAGUAUGGCAGAGGGGGGUAGAAUUCCACGUGUAGCAGUGAAAUGCGUAGAGAUGUGGAGGAAUACCGAUGGCGAAGGCAGCCCCCUGGGCCAAUACUGACGCUCAUGCACGAAAGCGUGGGGAGCAAACAGGAUUAGAUACCCUGGUAGUCCACGCCCUAAACGAUGUCAACUAGUUGUUGGGGAUUCAUUUCCUUAGUAACGUAGCUAACGCGUGAAGUUGACCGCCUGGGGAGUACGGUCGCAAGAUUAAAACUC
Molecule: ribosomal RNA, 554 nt
Filed under: uncultured bacterium
Lineage: Bacteria
Description: partial 16S ribosomal RNA
Rfam family: Bacterial small subunit ribosomal RNA
Source: RNAcentral